This 492-nucleotide ribosomal RNA is filed under the name uncultured bacterium. RNAcentral's name for it is "partial 16S ribosomal RNA". It matches the Rfam family "Bacterial small subunit ribosomal RNA", at positions 28 to 523 of the family's 1533-position model. The record is from RNAcentral.
AAUGAACGUUGGCGGCGUGGAUUAGGCAUGCAAGUCGAGCGUGAUAGGUUUGGUGCUUGCAUUAAACCUUGAAAGCGGCGAAAGGGACAGUAACGCGUAGAUACCUACCUCCAGGUCCGGGAUAGCGGCGGGAAACUGCCGGUAAUACCGGAUAAUGUCUUCGGACCAAAGGUGUGAUUCCGCUUGGAGACGGAUCUGCGUCCUAUUGGCUAGUUGGUGGGGUAAUGGCCCACCAAGGCGAUGAUGGGUAGCGGGCGUGAGAGCGUGGCCCGCGUCACUGGGACUGAGACAAUGCCCAGACACCUACGGGUGGCUGCAGUCGAGAAUCUUCGGCAAUGGGCGCAAGCCUGACCGAGCGACGCCGCGUGCGGGAUGAAGGCCUUCGGGUUGUAAACCGCUGUCGGAGAGGCGGAAAUCUCUAGGGGUUCUCCCCUAGAGUUGACCUAAUCUCGGAGGAAGUCCGGGCUAAGUUCGUGCCAGCCGCCGCAGUAA